RNAcentral lists this ribosomal RNA (239 nucleotides) under uncultured bacterium. RNAcentral's name for it is "partial 16S ribosomal RNA". It matches the Rfam family "Bacterial small subunit ribosomal RNA", at positions 82 to 339 of the family's 1533-position model. The record is from RNAcentral.
AUCUUCGGAUCUAGUGGCGCACGGGUGAGUAAUACAUGGAAAUCUACCUCGUAGUGGGGGAUAACCUCUGGAAACAGAAGCUAAUACCGCAUACACCAUAUUGGAAAAGCUACGGCGCUAUGAGAUGAGUCCAUGUCCAAUUAGCUAGUUGGUAGGGUAAAGGCCUACCAAGGCGACGAUUGGUAGCUGGUCUGAGAGGACGAUCAGCCACACUGGAACUGAGACACGGUCCAGACUCC